CCUGGUGGCUCAGAGGUUAAAGCGUCUGCCUGCAAUGCAGAAGACCUGGGUUCAAUCCCUGGGUCAGGA
Bos taurus (domestic cattle) is the source of this 69-nucleotide non-coding RNA. NCBI's taxonomy places the organism in Eukaryota, Metazoa, Chordata, Mammalia, Artiodactyla, Bovidae. The record is from Rfam.